AUGGACGAGGCAAGCUCAGACGCCGCCGCAAAGGCCGCGGCCGUGCGGGCUGUCGCCGUUUCCUGGGUUGCGCCGUCGAUGCUCGGGGAGGGGCAGCGCGGGGAACGCCUGAAACUUUCCUUCCUUGAUUCGUUGUGGGUCGUGCUGCCUCCGAUCCAGCGGGUGUUCCUGUACCAGCUUGGGGAGGACGGCGGCGACGGCUUCCAGUUCCAGGCGGUGGUCGAGCGACUCAAGCGCGCUCUCGCGGACACGCUGGCGCACUACCUCCCCCUGGCGGGGACGCUGGAGUACGAGGUGGAGACCGGGGACGCCUUCGUGGACUGCACUGCAAACGCCGGGGUCGCCUUCCUCGAGGCCGAGGGCGACAUGGAUGUGCGGCGUCUAGCUGGCGACGAGGCGCACGACAUCCUCGCAUUCCUGAGCCUCGUGCCGGAGCUGGAUGCCCGGGUGCUCCCGGCGCCCGUGCUGUCAGUACAGGCUACUCGUCUAAGCGCCGGCCUGGCGGUCGGCCUGUGCGUGCACCACGCCGUCGCCGACGGACGCACCGUGUGGCGAUUCAUGGAGGCAUGGUCUUCCGCUUCCCGUGAGGGCUCCCCAGUCACCAAGGUCCUCGGCCCGCCACACUACAGCCGCGACGUCAUCCAUCACGCGAACGCCGACGAGCUCGCCCGCGAGAUGCUAAAGACCGUCGGGCCCAAUCUCCCAGAGGUGAGAGGACAGCACGACUUCAGCCAGCGGUUCCUGCUGGCGCGCCGGACGUUCUACCUCGGCACCGACGACAUCCAGUCGCUUAGGCGGCGGAUCGACGACCUCGCCUCCGCCGAGGCUGCCGCCGCCGGUGGCGACGCGCCCAAGCUGAAACCGGUGUCGACGUUCGUGGCGCUGGCGGCGCUGAGCUGGACGGCGUUCGUUCGUUCCAAGGGGCUCGGCGCCGGGGACGACACGUACCUGGUGUUCCUCGCCGACCUGCGCUCCCGCCUCGACCCGCAUGUGAGCGAGGCUUACCUCGGCAACUGCGUGCGCGCGUGCCUGGCG
Molecule: ribosomal RNA, 1035 nt
Filed under: Triticum aestivum (bread wheat)
Lineage: Eukaryota; Viridiplantae; Streptophyta; Magnoliopsida; Poales; Poaceae
Description: partial small subunit ribosomal RNA
Source: RNAcentral